CUCAUAUCCAGAGAGGUGGAGGGAACGGCCCUGUGAAACCCAGCAACCAGUCUUAUGACAUGGUGCUAAUUCCGUCAGAGUAACUGGAAGAUGUGAG
RNAcentral lists this non-coding RNA (97 nucleotides) under Clostridiales bacterium. Its description in RNAcentral is "SAM-I sequence". It matches the Rfam family "SAM riboswitch aptamer (S box leader)". From Rfam's summary of the family: The SAM riboswitch is found upstream of a number of genes which code for proteins involved in methionine or cysteine biosynthesis in Gram-positive bacteria. The SAM riboswitch acts at the level of transcription termination control. Lineage: Bacteria; Bacillati; Bacillota; Clostridia; Eubacteriales. The record is from RNAcentral.